CUUCCUACGGGGGGCAGCAGUGAGGAAUAUUGGUCAAUGGCCGUAAGGCUGAACCAGCCAAGUAGCGUGAGGGAAGACUGCCCUAUGGGUUGUAAACCUCUUUUAUGCGGGGAUAAAGGUGUCCACGUGUGGAUGUUUGCAGGUACCGCAUGAAUAAGGACCGGCUAAUUCCGUGCCAGCAGCCGCGGUAAUACGGAAGGUCCGGGCGUUAUCCGGAUUUAUUGGGUUUAAAGGGUGCGUAGGCGGGCAUUUAAGCCGGCGGUCAAAUGUCGGGGCUCAACCCCGGCCUGCCGUCGGAACUGGGG
RNAcentral lists this ribosomal RNA (305 nucleotides) under uncultured bacterium. Its description in RNAcentral is "bacterial SSU rRNA". It matches the Rfam family "Bacterial small subunit ribosomal RNA", at positions 335 to 638 of the family's 1533-position model. The record is from RNAcentral.